GAUCAUGGCUCAGGAUGAACGCUGGCGGCGUGCCUAACACAUGCAAGUCGAGCGAGAAACUUUUAAAUGAAACUUCGGUAGAUUUUAAAAGCGGAAAGCGGCGGACGGGUGAGUAACGCGUAGGCAACCUGCCCUUUUCAGAGGGAGUAGCAUCUGGAAACGGAUAUUAAUACCUCAUAAUACUAAACUAUCACAUGAUAGAGUAGUCAAAGAUUAUCGCAAGGAUGGGCCUGCGUCUGAUUAG
This 244-nucleotide ribosomal RNA is filed under the name uncultured bacterium. RNAcentral's name for it is "partial 16S ribosomal RNA". It matches the Rfam family "Bacterial small subunit ribosomal RNA", at positions 15 to 244 of the family's 1533-position model. The record is from RNAcentral.